This 669-nucleotide long non-coding RNA is filed under the name Helianthus annuus (common sunflower). RNAcentral describes it as "sRNA HanXRQr2_Chr01g0039441". The record is from RNAcentral. Lineage: Eukaryota; Viridiplantae; Streptophyta; Magnoliopsida; Asterales; Asteraceae.
UUUCAAAAUCCUUUUAUCACCUAAAUAUCAUAACCACGUUCACCAUAAUUGCUAAAAAGAUGGUGUGAACCAUCGAAAUCGGUUGUUUUAAACAACCCCUCAACCUCUUUAAGUUACCACACAUUCAUAUAACAUCAUCGCACAACCUCCAAACUUCCAUCCUUUUGAGUCCAAAUCUAGGUCGAGGCAACCGAAGAUUUGUCACCGUUGCACCACCGGUUGAGAGCUCACAACGACUUCAAGUUUCGGUCUAUGGAACACGUCUCCGUUUGAUUAUUCGUAAGCUCAAAGUCAUUGGUUCGGUCAGAUCUAUUUGGUAAUUAAGCCAUCGCACACCCUCUAGUUUGAGCAAUCGCGGCCGCUGCCGUAUUCUUUUCUCGUCUUCGUGUGACCCGACCAGACGUUGAUACCGACUCUGACACACCAAAGUUUCUGCAUAGUAUUUGAUUCAGUUCCAUCUACUCCCAUUCUCUCGAGGCCUUGGUGGUAAUUAGCGACGUCGUUGAGUCUUGUGCUAUUAUCGUAUAAGCUAAGCUAAUGUACACAUUGCUUAUAGUACUCAGGGGAACAUGGGGAAAAAUGCGAAGAGAGAAAACUAAAUGGCUAGAGUUGAAAAUAAGGAGUUUAAAUAAAAUGCUAUUUAAAUUUUAGACAUUUCUAUUUUCGUUA